RNAcentral lists this ribosomal RNA (305 nucleotides) under uncultured bacterium. RNAcentral describes it as "bacterial SSU rRNA". It matches the Rfam family "Bacterial small subunit ribosomal RNA", at positions 337 to 634 of the family's 1533-position model. The record is from RNAcentral.
GCCUACGGGGGGCAGCAGUAGGGAAUCUUCCACAAUGGGCGAAAGCCUGAUGGAGCAACGCCGCGCGGGUGAAGAAGGUCUUCGGAUCGUAAAACCCUUUUGUUAGAGAAGAAAGUGCGUGAGAGUAACUGUUCACGUUUCGACGGUAUCUAACCAGAAAGCCACGGCUAACUACGUGCCAGCAGCCGCGGUAAUACGUAGGUGGCAAGCGUUAUCCGGAUUUAUUGGGCGUAAAGGGAACGCAGGCGGUCUUUUAAGUCUGAUGUGAACGCCUUCGGCUUAACCGGAGUAGUGCAUUGGAAACU